CAAGUAUAUCAUUUAUGCACAUAUGAUUGAUAUAACAAACCCAUCUAGUUUGAUAUAGAGAUGUACAAGUAGUUAUUGUUGUUGUAUAAACAAUAAUAACGAAGGAACAGACCUUAGGGCAGCACUUGCCGCAGUUUGAGCAGCGAAUGAAUUUGGUGUGGCCACGUCCAUGCUUGUUACGACCUCCGUUUCUUCUCUUGAAUGUCUGUAAAUUUAGAGAAAUAGAUUUAGAAAUUAUACAAUUUUUUCUAGGUAUAAAGUUACGUUAGCUGAGGAAAUUCAAAAUUUUAGCUAACCAUUUUCGCCGGACGAGUUGUAGCAGCUGCUGAGCAGUGGAUACGAUGGAACUCUAAUGGCGACCACUCUGCUUCUGACGCUAUCAGCUACUAGGGUUUUCCUUUGAUAAGAGAUGUGAAAUAUAAGCCUUCUUUGAAAAGCCCAAUAAAC
This 447-nucleotide long non-coding RNA is filed under the name Nicotiana tabacum (common tobacco). Its description in RNAcentral is "long non-coding RNA (NTAB_LNC013083)". The record is from RNAcentral. Lineage: Eukaryota; Viridiplantae; Streptophyta; Magnoliopsida; Solanales; Solanaceae.